This 148-nucleotide non-coding RNA is filed under the name Gorilla gorilla gorilla (western lowland gorilla). The record is from Rfam by way of RNAcentral. Lineage: Eukaryota; Metazoa; Chordata; Mammalia; Primates; Hominidae.
GCUGGGUGUGGUGGUGCGCGCCUGUAGUCCCAGCUACUCAGGAGGCUGAGGCAGGGGCAUCGCUUGAACCCGGGAGUUGGAAGUUGCAGUGAGCCGAGAUGGAGCCACUGCACUCCAGCCUGGGCGACAGAGCGAGACUCUGUCUCAA